GAUGAACGCUGGCGGCGUGCCUAAUACAUGCAAGUCGAGCGAACGGACGAGAAGCUUGCUUCUCUGAUGUUAGCGGCGGACGGGUGAGUAACACGUGGAUAACCUACCUAUAAGACUGGGAUAACUUCGGGAAACCGGAGCUAAUACCGGAUAAUAUUUUGAACCGCAUGGUUCAAAAGUGAAAGACGGUCUUGCCGUCACUUAUAGAUGGAUCCGCGCUGCAUUAGCUAGUUGGUAAGGUAACGGCUUACCAAGGCAACGAUGCAUAGCCGACCUGAGAGGGUGAUCGGCCACACUGGAACUGAGACGCGGUCCAGACUCCUACGGGAGGCAGCAGUAGGGAAUCUUCCGCAAUGGGCGAAAGCCUGACGGAGCAACGCCGCGUGAGUGAUGAAGGUCUUCGGAUCGUAAAACUCUGUUAUUAGGGAAGAACAUAUGUGUAAGUAACUGUGCACAUCUUGACGGUACCUAAUCAGAAAGCCACGGCUAACUACGU
RNAcentral lists this ribosomal RNA (496 nucleotides) under uncultured bacterium. RNAcentral's name for it is "partial 16S ribosomal RNA". It matches the Rfam family "Bacterial small subunit ribosomal RNA", at positions 28 to 506 of the family's 1533-position model. The record is from RNAcentral.